RNAcentral lists this ribosomal RNA (571 nucleotides) under uncultured bacterium. RNAcentral's name for it is "bacterial SSU rRNA". It matches the Rfam family "Bacterial small subunit ribosomal RNA", at positions 274 to 842 of the family's 1533-position model. The record is from RNAcentral.
CGACGAUGCGUAGGGGUUCUGAGAGGAAGGUCCCCCACACUGGUACUGAGACACGGACCAGACUCCUACGGGAGGCAGCAGUGAGGAAUAUUGGUCAAUGGGAGAGAUCCUGAACCAGCCAAGCCGCGUGAGGGAAGACGGCCCUAUGGGUUGUAAACCUCUUUUGUCGGAGAACAAAACCCGGGACGUGUCCCGGACUGCGUGUAUCCGAAGAAAAAGCAUCGGCUAACUCCGUGCCAGCAGCCGCGGUAAUACGGAGGAUGCGAGCGUUAUCCGGAUUUAUUGGGUUUAAAGGGUGCGUAGGCGGUCUGUUAAGUCAGCGGUAAAAUUGCGGGGCUCAACCCCGUCGAGCCGUUGAAACUGGCAGACUUGAGUUGGCGAGAAGUACGCGGAAUGCGCGGUGUAGCGGUGAAAUGCAUAGAUAUCGCGCAGAACUCCGAUUGCGAAGGCAGCGUACCGGCGCCAGACUGACGCUGAGGCACGAAAGCGUGGGGAUCGAACAGGAUUAGAUACCCUGGUAGUCCACGCAGUAAACGAUGAAUGCUGGUUGUCCGGGUCGAAUGAGACCUGG